Misgurnus anguillicaudatus (oriental weatherfish) is the source of this 299-nucleotide non-coding RNA. NCBI's taxonomy places the organism in Eukaryota, Metazoa, Chordata, Actinopteri, Cypriniformes, Cobitidae. The record is from RefSeq and is a predicted model, not a curated record.
GGAGAAAUGGAAAAAGCUAGCCCAACAGAAACCAAUAAACACUGUCUGUAGAUGGAAAAGUGACUACAUCAUCAGACUGAUUCAGUUCUACAAGUUCAAAAUUGAGGACUCUGCUGAACAUUGAGGAAAAAAUACCGUAUCGGGAGAAGAUGGCAAGAGUCUGAUUCAAACUUCCAGUCUACCCUUAAAGAUGUGGACCGUGAGCUCAGAGUCCAAAUGCAAGGCUAGAACUGAAUCAAGGGAGAGAGCAGUCGUCCUCCACCAGAGAAGAAUAUAUCCAGCUUUGCUUCAGAUGGGCU